Molecule: non-coding RNA, 110 nt
Filed under: Bacillus sp. (in: firmicutes)
Lineage: Bacteria; Bacillati; Bacillota; Bacilli; Caryophanales; Bacillaceae
Description: Bacillus sp. TPP sequence
Rfam family: TPP riboswitch aptamer (THI element)
About the family: Vitamin B(1) in its active form thiamin pyrophosphate (TPP) is an essential coenzyme that is synthesised by coupling of pyrimidine and thiazole moieties in bacteria. The previously detected thiamin-regulatory element, thi box was extended, resulting in a new, highly conserved RNA secondary structure, the THI element, which is widely distributed in eubacteria and also occurs in some archaea. Analysis of operon structures identified a large number of new candidate thiamin-regulated genes, mostly transporters, in various prokaryotic organisms.
Source: RNAcentral
CAAAAGCACUGGGGGAAUCCUUGAAAAGGACUGAGAGAAGAGUGCGCACUCUGAUACCCUUAUCACCUGAACAGGUUGGAACCUGCGGAGGGAAGUGACAUGCCGAUUUA